RNAcentral lists this long non-coding RNA (1182 nucleotides) under Zonotrichia albicollis (white-throated sparrow). RNAcentral's name for it is "lncRNA (ENSZALG00000005452.1)". The record is from RNAcentral. Lineage: Eukaryota; Metazoa; Chordata; Aves; Passeriformes; Passerellidae.
GGUUCUGUUCCAGGUUUUCAAGUUCUCUCCUGAUUUGAACCUUGGAUAACAUACUGGAUUGCUAUGUCUCUCCCUGUUCCAGUCUCAGCAACAUUAAUUACAGGUCAAAUUUUUGCAUGGUAUUCAAGCCAAGUGUGUUAUUCUUACAAUAACCAACAUACAUCAAAUUCAUACAUCCUCUCAGCAAACACAGAAGCUGAAAAUUUAGCAGAUUGAGCUGGGUGUCAUCGUUUUAAGCCCUGCACCAGAGCCAGUAACUUCUGCUUCCCCUGUUCCAGCUUCAGCUCUGAGGUUAACAGAGAAGUGUCACCCCUCUCCACUGCAGUCACUGUCUGAAAAACCACAGCUCUUUGUGUGCCUGGAGUCCCUUUGGGAUGAUAGGGCCCACUGCCAGGCUGCAGCUGGCAUUGCAGGAGAAGUAAGUGGAAUGUGACAGGGAAACCUAUAAAUAUAGCACCAGACAGAGCCCAAGCCUGAGGAGAAAGAAAACAUCAAUGUCACACUUCUCUUGGCAGACACCUGCACAUGCUGACAAGUAACUGUGACCCUGUCUCCCAUCCUUCUCGAGAAGGGCUGAAGCAUCAACCUUAGGACCCAGAGGGAUGUUGUGAAGAUAAUCAUAACAUCAGAGAAAAUGCAUAGAUACUAGGAAGGCUUUAGAAAACAACCCCACAAUUUAAGUCUAUUAUUAAUGAGACUAUGGCCUAUAACAUGACUUUGAGUGUAAGAACAUGCCUUCAAAUAAUUUCAUCUACUACAUAUCUUCACCAGAUCAUAAAUAUUUAAAUUAAAUCAAGCAGGAAUAACACUUCAAAACAGAGAUCUUUUUCUGGAUCACUUUCAAUAAUAUCACUAAAAAAAUUGUGCUAUUUUUUUUUUACAUGCAUUAUUUUUACAGUUCUUCAAGUUGUUGUUAGGUAGGUGACAAAAAAUCCAAAGCAUGCCUGGUUAAUGUAGCAGUGCCCAUUGCCUUAUGCACUAGGGAGUCCUGAACUCCAGAAAUCUGUGACCACCACUGAUGCUUUAACAGGUAAAACAUCUACUGUAAAUUGAUUAUUUUCCUUUCUUCACAAGUGUUCAAAAACAAAUGGAGAUCAGAUGCUUGAAUACAGUCUGGAUUGAAUAGAAUACUGAACACGGAUCUAAAGGUAAAAUAAAAAUAUUUUCCAACUUAUGAUUGCA